Molecule: ribosomal RNA, 429 nt
Filed under: uncultured Ensifer sp.
Lineage: Bacteria; Pseudomonadati; Pseudomonadota; Alphaproteobacteria; Hyphomicrobiales; Rhizobiaceae
Description: bacterial SSU rRNA
Rfam family: Bacterial small subunit ribosomal RNA
Source: RNAcentral
GUGCCAGCAGCCGCGGUAAUACGAAGGGGCUAGCGUUGUUCGGAAUUACUGGGCGUAAAGCGCACGUAGGCGGGUAUUUAAGUCAGGGGUGAAAUCCCGGAGCUCAACUCCGGAACUGCCUUUGAUACUGGGUACCUAGAGUAUGGAAGAGGUAAGUGGAAUUCCGAGUGUAGAGGUGAAAUUCGUAGAUAUUCGGAGGAACACCAGUGGCGAAGGCGGCUUACUGGUCCAUUACUGACGCUGAGGUGCGAAAGCGUGGGAGCAAACAGGAUUAGAUACCCUGGUAGUCCACGCCGUAAACGAUGAAUGUUAGCCGUCGGGCAGUUUACUGUUCGGUGGCGCAGCUAACGCAUUAACAUUCCGCCUGGGAGUACGGUCGCAAGAUUAAAACUCAAAGGAAUUGACGGGGCCCGCACAAGCGGUGGAGCA